UCGACGGUUAUCGGAUUACUGGGCGUAAGCGUGCGCAGGCGGUUGUGUAAGACAGGUGUGAAAUCCCCGGGCUUAACCUGGGAACUGCGCUUGUGACUGCACGGCUAGAGUACGGCAGAGGGGGGUGGAAUUCCACGUGUAGCAGUGAAAUGCGUAGAUAUGUGGAGGAACACCGAUGGCGAAGGCAGCCCCCUGGGCCGAUACUGACGCUCAUGCACGAAAGCGUGGGGAGCAAAUAGGAUUAGAUACCCUGGUAGUCCACGCCCUAAACGAUGUCGACUAGUCGUUCGGAGAGGUAACUCACUGAGUGACGCAGCUAACGCGUGAAGUCGACCGCCUGGGGAGUACGGCCGCAAGGUUAAAACUCAAAGGAAUUGACGGGGACCCGCACAAGCGGUGGAUGAUGUGGAUUAAUUCGAUGCAACUCGAAAAACCUUACCUACCCUUGACAUGCCUGGAAUCCUUGAGAGAUCAGGGAGUGCCUUCGGGAACCAGGACACAGGUGCUGCAUGGGCUGUCG
Molecule: ribosomal RNA, 520 nt
Filed under: uncultured bacterium
Lineage: Bacteria
Description: bacterial SSU rRNA
Rfam family: Bacterial small subunit ribosomal RNA
Source: RNAcentral